GUUACCUACGGGGGGCAGCAGUGGGGGAUAUUGCACAAUGGGGGGAACCCUGAUGCAGCGACGCCGCGUGGGUGAAGGAGCGUUUCGGCGCGUAAAGCCCUAUCGGCAGGGAAGAAGGAGGACGGUACCUGACUAAGAAGCCCCGGCUAACUACGUGCCAGCAGCCGCGGUAAUACGUAGGGGGCAAGCGUUAUCCGGAUUUACUGGGUGUAAAGGGAGCGUAGACGGCUGUGCAAGUCUGAAGUGAAAGCCCAGGGCUCAACCCUGGGACUGCUUUGGAAACUGUGGAGCUUGAGUGCUGGAGG
RNAcentral lists this ribosomal RNA (305 nucleotides) under uncultured bacterium. RNAcentral describes it as "bacterial SSU rRNA". It matches the Rfam family "Bacterial small subunit ribosomal RNA", at positions 334 to 655 of the family's 1533-position model. The record is from RNAcentral.